This 253-nucleotide ribosomal RNA is filed under the name uncultured bacterium. RNAcentral describes it as "partial 16S ribosomal RNA". It matches the Rfam family "Bacterial small subunit ribosomal RNA", at positions 524 to 776 of the family's 1533-position model. The record is from RNAcentral.
UACGUAGGGUGCGAGCGUUGCCCGGAUUCAUUGGGCGUAAAGGGCGCGCAGGCGGCCCGGAAAGUCGGAUGUGAAAACUCGAGGCUCAACCUCGAGCGUGCACCCGAUACUGCCGGGCUUGAGGCAGGUAGGGGAGAUCGGAAUUCCUGGUGUAGCGGUGAAAUGCGUAGAGAUUGGAAAGAACACCGAUGGCGAAGGCACUUUACUGGGCUAUUACUAACACUCAGAGACGAAAGCUAGGGUAGCAAAUGGG